This 337-nucleotide long non-coding RNA is filed under the name Dermacentor andersoni. RNAcentral's name for it is "uncharacterized LOC126530975". The record is from RNAcentral. Lineage: Eukaryota; Metazoa; Arthropoda; Arachnida; Ixodida; Ixodidae.
AAUAGCAAAUCUGUCUUUCAACUGACUUGAUGAUCUCUUUUGUUACUUUCACUCCAUAGACGGCUGGACAUCCUUCUUGUACCUUGGCGCUAGCUGGAUGACGGGACCUCAUCAUGAUCAGUGUAUUGCUUGCCUAUGUCUACAAGAACCGUCACGCGUGGCCUGUAACAGCAAGCUUUUGUGGGCAGCCAGUGCUCUCCUACGAAGGCUGGCCUGCUCUGGCAGCGGCGGCAAUCAUCUUCAAGAGUUAUGCAUGAUCGCAUUUAUUUGUCACUCUUGUUAAUUACACUUUCUGUAUCUUUUCUAAUUUAUUAGGUAAUAAAGUAUGAGUAUGUGA